UGCUGUGGAUGAUGAGAUAUUUAAUUUACAGUUAUCCCUGUCUGAUGUAGCAGGUGAUGAAGUUUUGUAAUCUGACCAGCA
This is a small nucleolar RNA of Vigna unguiculata (cowpea), 81 nucleotides long. RefSeq annotates it as small nucleolar RNA R38. The record is from RefSeq and is a predicted model, not a curated record. Lineage: Eukaryota; Viridiplantae; Streptophyta; Magnoliopsida; Fabales; Fabaceae.